UAGAUAAACCAUGGGAAAACUGCUUGAAAUUCUCGAAAUAGACUGCCUCCGUGUGCCCUGUGAGAAAGUUACUGCGUUAACUGAACGGAGCUGAGUGGAAGCAGGUUUCCCUCUAAUUUUUAGCUGCUUUGCAGAGAACCUGGCUUAACCUUCCCUAACAUGGCUAAUUAGUGUAGAUCCAGUCUCUGGAGAAGAAGGAACUUAGCCCUUUAGAUGAGUGCAUGUUGUUCAGACGUGUAUGUUUAAGCUACUGCGUUCUAUAUGUGCUUUAAGACACACCCGUUUCAUGCCUUCCUGUAACUGCCUCUUGCCAUCUUAUUACAGUAGCUGCUCAGAUUUCAUAGGGAAACACCAGGAUUUCCAUGUCCCCUACAGCAGCCCUGACAUAAACACUUGUAAGAGACUGGAGAGGAGAAGUCUGGGGAAAGUUGGCCUAAUAACUUAGAAAAUAAUACUGUACACUGCUGUAAUGUCUUUCAUCCUGAAGGCUUCCAGGUAGCAUCACAAGUGAUAUGUAAUGCAGCUAAAUCUGGGUGCUGGAGCUAAUCUGAACACAAGGAGAGGGUAGUAAGUAAACAGGAGCCAAGGCAGACCACCCUGGACUCUCCCUUAUGAGAGGCUCUGUAGCAGAGGUUGGUAACUAUACUAAAUUGUGUCUGGGAGUAGGGUGAGCAGGUUUCUACAGGUAGGGGCAUCAAUUUUCUGAGGGAGGAUGGACAGGCUUUCUUUGUAGGAGGCAUGUUAGACUAUGGCAGCUGUUCAGAUAGCUAAAGGGCUCAGCUUAAAACUUCUUUUUCUCAUUUUUGGCAGUUAGCUGUGCUGUGGUAAUUUGUUCAAAAAAUAAAUGCCUUGCUUUCUAGUAAGGUGUCUAAGACAAUUAAGACUUUUCCAUUGUGUCCUAUGCUUUUAUUUAGUGUCUCAUCUGGUCAUGAGCCACUGCAGAUGCAUAGGAAAUGCAACUUCUCAGCUAAAUCACCUCAAAUUCUAAUGCCCCUAGUACCAUAGCUGAUGAAUUGGAGACACUGGGCUGUAAUUCUUUCAAAAACUCAUGAUUUGUAAACAUGGAAUGGCUGCUCACCUCAGAGUCUGAAGAGUCAAUGCCAUCAGCAUCCAUGUGGAGACUGUCAGGAGGGGUGACUGCUGGGCCUGCACCUGCUGCAGAGGAACACGUAGUCUGAGUGCUGCGGACUCAGCGGACCCGGUCACCAUCCUGAUUUCAUCCACCUGUGAUUCCAUCACCACCUGUAUAAGAAGAGAAGCCUAAUUAUCCAAUAUUAUUUUGACUGCUAAACCACCUGUUUGAAGUUCUUCCCAUUAUUGCAAGGGUACGAUACUGAGUGUCAUCAUGCAACCAUCCUUUGGCAGUCUGUUGCCUGAAUCUCAACCUCACUUGGCUAGCAGCCAAAACAAGGAACAGCGCUGCAGAGACUGGAAGUGAGACGACCGUUGAAGACUCAUGUUAAAUACACCACUGUAUAUUUAACUUCAGUCUGAGACAUCCAUUAAUAGUACACUGGAUCCACGACCAUCUUCUGAAGGCGGCUGACCUUGCCAGCCCAUUGUUUUCCCUUUGUACCACAUACUGGUUAUUCACCACCAGCUCUUGUGGCUGGAUUUAAUGCUACUAUGCAUGCAAGGAUAAAAAGCAGGUUACACCGAGACCAGCAUGAGAUGUAGAUUUGAGAGGGUUCUGAAUUAACUCUUUGAAUGCUGCUGGGUUUUUUCCAAGGUGCCAGCCAGCAGCCACUUAAAGCCCUCAGUGGAGAUAAGAGAAGCCCCCCCAUCCCUAUGCAGCAAUCAAAUUAACGAUUUUGGAAGGAUAUUAAGCCUCAAAUGCUUCAGGCUGUGAAGCCCAUCUGUUACCUCUUGAUGAAACCUAGUACAAGGGCAGAUCAUCCCACCUCACUCACUGCGAGUUUCUUACACCUUCCACUGAAGUAUCUGGUGCUGGCCGGUCUCAGGCACCAAGGAACUGCCAGCAGACUCAUCUGCCCGUUCCCUGCGUGGGAUUGGGGCAGACACUCACCUCGGGCGCUCUCUCCUCCUCCGUCUCCGGCGCAUCUAGCCCCAGCCGAUAGCGCAGCUCUUGGUUCUGCACGGCGAGCCCCUGGGUCUUCUCCCGCAGGAGCUGGUUUUCUAGCAGGAGAUUCUGGUUCUGAAAGAAGCCCACAGGCGACCUCAGCGGAGCAGGCCGCAGCAGCCAGCUCCGUUCCCCCCCGCCUGCAAUGUGCUUUACAGCCCUGCGGCGCAGGGCUCCCUGCCCUCCGCAGCCGGCCGGCCCGAGCCCCCCGAGCCCUACCUCCUGCUCCAGCUCCAAGACCUGCUGCUCCAGCUCGCUCAUCCGCGCCUUCUUCCUGUCCCGGGCGCUCUGCGCCGCUACGCGGUUCUUCAGCUUCCUGCGGGGAGACAGCGCAGCCCUGAGCCCCGGCCCCGGCGGAGACGCCCCCGGCCCCACCCCGCGGCGCCCCAGCGGCCCCGCUCACCUGCGCAGCGCCUUCUCCUCCGGACUCAGGUGAGUGAGCCGCUGCCGCUUGCGGGCCGGCGGCUGGGGCUCCGGGCUGGGGGAGCGCGGGCCCCCCACCGGGAGCGCCACGGAGAGGGGCCGGCUGG
Molecule: long non-coding RNA, 2610 nt
Organism: Chelonia mydas (Green sea turtle)
Lineage: Eukaryota; Metazoa; Chordata; Testudines; Cheloniidae
Exons: 2
Source: RefSeq, a predicted model, not a curated record